RNAcentral lists this ribosomal RNA (388 nucleotides) under uncultured bacterium. Its description in RNAcentral is "bacterial SSU rRNA". It matches the Rfam family "Bacterial small subunit ribosomal RNA", at positions 29 to 417 of the family's 1533-position model. The record is from RNAcentral.
AUUAAACGCUGGCGGCAUGCCUUACACAUACAAGUCGAACGGCAGCACGGGGGGCAACCUUGGUGGCGAGUGGCGAACGGGUGAGUAAAGCAUCGGAACGUGCCCUGGAGUGGGGGAUAACGUAGCGAAAGUUACGCUAAUACCGCAUAUUCUGUGAGCAGGAAAGCAGGGGAUCGCAAGACCUUGCGCUCUGGGAGCGGCCGAUGUCGGAUUAGCUAGUUGGUGGGGUAAAGGCCUACCAAGGCGACGAUCCGUAGCGGGUCUGAGAGGAUGAUCCGCCACACUGGGACUGAGACACGGCCCAGACUCCUACGGGAGGCAGCAGUGGGGAAUUUUGGACAAUGGGCGAAAGCCUGAUCCAGCCAUGCCGCGUGAGUGAAGAAGGCCU